This 427-nucleotide ribosomal RNA is filed under the name uncultured bacterium. Its description in RNAcentral is "bacterial SSU rRNA". It matches the Rfam family "Bacterial small subunit ribosomal RNA", at positions 355 to 774 of the family's 1533-position model. The record is from RNAcentral.
UGGGGAAUUUUGGACAAUGGACGCAAGUCUGAUCCAGCCAUGCCGCGUGCGGGAAGAAGGCCUUCGGGUUGUAAACCGCUAUUUUCAGGGAAGAAACGCUCUGGGCUAAUACCCUGGGGUAAUGACGGUACCUGAAGAAUAAGCACCGGCUAACUACGUGCCAGCAGCCGCGGUAAUACGAAGGGUGCAAGCGGUAAUCGGAAUUACUGGGCGUAAAGAGUGCGCAGGCGGUUAUGCAAGACAGAUGUGAAAUCCCCGGGCUCAACCUGGGAACUGCCUUUGUGACUGCAUAUCUAGAGUACGGUAGAGGGGGAUGAAAUUCCGCGUGUAGCAGUGAAAUGCAUAGAUAUGCGGAGGAACAACGAUGGCGAAGGCAAUCCCCUGGACCUGUACUGACGCUCAUGCACGAAAGCGUGGGGAGCAAACA